GAAUAGAGUAGCUGCAUCUCCUGAUCACUGCUCUCCCACACGAGCUGUAUUUGCAUCCAGAGCAGCCUCCAAGAGCCACACAAACAACAUUCAGCUACUGUAUGCAUCUUUGAAAAUAGUUGUGGGCCUGAUUCCAAAGCUGGCCUCUGCAGCCAAGAUUCCUGUUAAUACCCUGUCUCAGACACUUCAGACAGAAAAUAGAUUAAUACUCAAGUAGGAAAUCAAGCCUUUCCAAUAUGUCUCUGUGGAUCUCAAGUCCAGAUGGUGACCAGAGUCUCGGUUGCAAGUAUGCUUACAAGGAUAUGAAGACAUUGCUGGAUCAGGAUACUACAGACAGAAAAACAUGAAACAACCCAGAUAUACUUUUAAGGACACCCUUGUGCAUUGAAUUGAAGCCUCACAAUACUCACAAGAUUUGCAAUCCGACCUCUUACCUUUUCUUCUCCCCUUCUAUUGUUGUGAGCUGAAACAAAAGCCAUAAUACAAAAGGUUAAAAAAGAAAUCGAAUAACAAGUGAAGUCAUAAAUUGACAAAAAGAAUCAAG
Molecule: long non-coding RNA, 544 nt
Filed under: Struthio camelus australis
Lineage: Eukaryota; Metazoa; Chordata; Aves; Struthioniformes; Struthionidae
Description: lncRNA (ENSSCUG00000016450.1)
Source: RNAcentral